This is a long non-coding RNA of Nanorana parkeri, 127 nucleotides long. RefSeq lists it as uncharacterized. NCBI's taxonomy places the organism in Eukaryota, Metazoa, Chordata, Amphibia, Anura, Dicroglossidae. The record is from RefSeq and is a predicted model, not a curated record. The transcript has 3 exons.
UCCUUCUGACCAGAAGUGUAGGGAGCAUUCUUCCCAGUAACCAUCACACUAAUGUAUGGUGAGCUGUAGAUAUAGUAUUUAUUAGCAGAGGUUCCUUGAGGCUAAAAAGUUAUUUCAAGGGUUCCUC